AUGACGGUACCUGAAGAAUAAGCACCGGCUAACUACGUGCCAGCAGCCGCGGUAAUACGUAGGGUGCAAGCGUUAAUCGCAAUUACUGGGCGUAAAGCGUGCGCAGGCGGUUAUGUAAGAUAGGCGUGAAAUCCCCGGGCUUAACCCGGGAAUUGCGCUUGUGACUGCAUAGCUAGAGUAUGUCAGAGGGGGGCAGAAUCCCACGUGUAGCAGUGAAAUGCGUAGAGAUGUGGAGGAAUACCAAUGGCGAAGGCAGCCCCCUGGGAUAAUACUGACGCUCAUGCACGAAAGCGUGGGGAUCAAACAGGAUUAGAUACCCUGGUAGUCCACGCCCUAAACGAUGCUGACUAGUUGUUCGGGAAUUUAUUCCUGAGUAACGUAGCCAACGCGUGAAGUCAGCCGCCUGGGGAGUACGGUCGCAAGAUUAAAACUCAAAGGAAUUGACGAGGACCCGCACAAGCGGUGGAUGAUGUGGAUUAAUUCGAUGCAACGCGAAAAUCCUUACCUACCCUUGACAUGCCACUAACGAAGUAGAGAUACACUAGGUGCCCGUAAGG
Molecule: ribosomal RNA, 557 nt
Filed under: uncultured bacterium
Lineage: Bacteria
Description: bacterial SSU rRNA
Rfam family: Bacterial small subunit ribosomal RNA
Source: RNAcentral